RNAcentral lists this long non-coding RNA (761 nucleotides) under Mustela putorius furo (domestic ferret). RNAcentral's name for it is "lncRNA (ENSMPUG00000031222.1)". The record is from RNAcentral. Lineage: Eukaryota; Metazoa; Chordata; Mammalia; Carnivora; Mustelidae.
GCGAAGGGCAAGAUAUGGGGGAAAGGGUACAGAGCUUCCGUGACCUCUCCAGGAACACCAACCUCCCUGAAUCUCCCAGCAUUCACCAACACAGAAGCUCUCCAAACCCUGUCCUUCAGCUUCAUAGAGAUGAAUAUGACACUUUUGAAAGGUGUAUAUUGAAGAUGUUUUGGAAACCAUGUGUUGAUGAUGGUAGAAUUCAAAGAAGGAAGAGGUCUGGGUACUCGAUCUACCAUAUACAGUGGAUCUGGCAUCCAAUCAGGAAGACUUGCCACCCAUACCAGACCAUUUGCAUUGUUCAUAACAGCCAAAAUGUGAAGACAACCUAAAUGUCCAUCAACGGAUGAAUAGAUACCCAAAGUGUGACAGAGGAAUACAAUGGAAAAUUAUGAAGCAGUUAAAAAGGAAUGAAGUAAUGGUGCAUGCUACAAUGUGGAUGAAUCUCAAAAACAUUUGUAAAGUGAAAGAAGCCAUUACAGAAGACCACAUAUUUCACAUAUUGCAUGGGUCCAUUUCAAUGAAAUAUCUGGAAUAAACAAAUCAUUAUGGAUAGCAGGUAGAUUGGCAUUUGCCUAGGGCUAGGGGAAUAGGGGGAAAUGGGUAGUGACUAUUAAUGGGUAUGUGGGUGAUGAAAGUGUUCCAAAACUGAUUGUCACAGUGAUUGUGUAACUUUUUGAAUACGCUAAAAACCAUUGGAUUAUACACUUAAAAUUGGCAAGUUAUAUAGUAUAUGUAUUAUAUCUCAGUAAAGUUACAAGAAA